CUGACAGCUGUGGAGGCUGAAGACCUCUAUUUGUCCACAAAACAGAUACAGUAAAAGCAGGAGCAAUGAGAGUUUCUUCAGCCAGCCUUCCCAAGGAGUCCCAAGCCUGUUUUGCAGGGAGUGCGCCUGGGUGUAGGACAGCAGCACAGUGCCCCAAGCCCCUUCUGCAACUACU
Molecule: unclassified non-coding RNA, 175 nt
Organism: Apteryx haastii (Great spotted kiwi)
Lineage: Eukaryota; Metazoa; Chordata; Aves; Apterygiformes; Apterygidae
Source: Ensembl